UUUCGCAAUGCCCGAAAGGGUGACGAAGCGACGCCGCGUGAGUGAGGAAGGCCUUCGGGUUGUAAAGCUCUGUCAGGAGUUAAGAAAUAUAAGUGUGUUAAUACCACAUUUAUUUGACGAAGGCUCCAAAGGAAGCCACGGCUAACUCUGUGCCAGCAGCCGCGGUAAUACAGAGGUGGCAAGCGUUGUUCGGAAUUAUUGGGCGUAAAGAGCACGUAGGUGGGUUUGUAAGUCAGAUGUGAAAGCCUUCUGUUCAACGGAAGAAUUGCAUCUGAAACUGUGAGUCUUGAGUGUAGGAGGGGAGAAUGGAACUUCUGGUGGAGCGGUGAAAUGCGUAGAUAUCAGAAGGAACGCCGGCGGCGAAAGCGAUUCUCUGGCCUAUUACUGACACUCAGUGUGCGAAAGCUAGGGGAGCAAACGGGAUUAGAUACCCCGGUAGUCCUAGCUGUAAACGAUGGGCACUAAGUAGAGGGGUUUUA
This 479-nucleotide ribosomal RNA is filed under the name uncultured anaerobic ammonium-oxidizing bacterium. RNAcentral describes it as "bacterial SSU rRNA". It matches the Rfam family "Bacterial small subunit ribosomal RNA", at positions 364 to 833 of the family's 1533-position model. The record is from RNAcentral.